UUGAAUGUGAUGGAGCAUCAAUGCCUG
RNAcentral lists this non-coding RNA (27 nucleotides) under Mus musculus (house mouse). RNAcentral also lists the same sequence under 1 other name. Lineage: Eukaryota; Metazoa; Chordata; Mammalia; Rodentia; Muridae. The record is from RNAcentral.